GGGGGUAUAGCCCAAAUGGUAGGGUGUGUGCUUAUCAAGCGUAAGGUCCUGGGUUCAAGCCCCAGAACCUCUG
Transfer RNA from Camelus ferus (Wild Bactrian camel), 73 nucleotides. It matches the Rfam family "tRNA". From Rfam's summary of the family: Transfer RNA (tRNA) molecules are approximately 80 nucleotides in length. Their secondary structure includes four short double-helical elements and three loops (D, anti-codon, and T loops). NCBI's taxonomy places the organism in Eukaryota, Metazoa, Chordata, Mammalia, Artiodactyla, Camelidae. The record is from Rfam.